Molecule: ribosomal RNA, 497 nt
Filed under: uncultured bacterium
Lineage: Bacteria
Description: partial 16S ribosomal RNA
Rfam family: Bacterial small subunit ribosomal RNA
Source: RNAcentral
GAUGAACGCUGGCGGCGUGCCUAAUACAUGCAAGUCGAGCGAACGGACGAUAAGCUUUCUCCUCUAACGUUAGCGGCGGACGGGUGAGUAACACGUAGAUAACCUACCUCUAAGACUGGGAUAACUUCGGGAAACCGCAGCUACUACCGCAUCAUAUAUUGAACCGCAUGGUUCAAGAGUUAAAGACGGUUUUGCUGUCACUUAUAGAUGGUUCCGGGGCGGCUUAGGUAGUUGGUAAGGGAACGGCUUACCAAGGCUACGAUGCCUAGCCGAACUGAGAGGGUGGUCCGCCACACUGGAACUGAGACAAGGUCCCGACUCCUAAGGGAGGGAGCAGGUGGGAAUAUUGCCGAAUUGGCGAAAGCCUGACGGAGCAACGCCGCGUGAGUGAAGAAGGUCUUCGGAUCGUAAAACUCUGUUAUUAGGAAAGAACAGAUGUGUAAGUAACUAUGCACGUCUUGACGGUACCUAAUCAGAAAGCAACGGCUAACUACGUG